ACGGUUACGUAAUACGAAACGCCAUGGAGUCGAAUUUACUGAUAUCCAACUCACUGAUCAACAUGUACCUGAAAAAUGGCUUUCUUGAACUGGCAAGAGCAAUCUUUGAUUUGAUGGAAAAUCGAAACUUAUCUACGUAUAACUCGAUUAUUUCGGGUUAUGCAUCGUUUGGCUAUCUAGAAGAUGCAUGGUUACUAAUGAAUGAAAUGGGAAAUUGUAAUUUGAAACCAGAUAUUGUUACCUGGAAUAGCCUUCUAUCGGGUAAUCUCCACCGUGGAUUGUAUCACGAAGUACUUGUGUUGUUUCAGCAGAUGCAAAAUGCAGGUUUUGAGCCGAACACGAGAUCUGUGACAACUGUUCUUCAGGCAAUAAGUGAAUUGUUUUGUCUGAAUCUCGGAAAGUCGGUUCAUUGCUAUGUUGUAAGAAGAGGGCUUGUCUCAAAUCUACAUGUAGGAACUUCAUUACUAGACAUGUAUGUGAAGAACUAUGAUUUAAAGAGUGCUAAAUCUGUUUUCGAUGAUAUCAAGGAGAGUAACAUCUUUGCUUGGAACUCGAUGAUUUCUGGAUAUUCGUAUAACGGAGAUAUGGAAAAUGCUUCGAUUCUUUUUAAUCAAAUGAGGAUAGAGGGAAUUGAACCUGAUCUAGUGACAUACAACAGCAUGGUUUCUGGCUAUUCGAUGAUUGGACGAAUAAACGAAGCCUUAGCCACGAUUAGGCAAAUCAAGAACUCGG
This 732-nucleotide long non-coding RNA is filed under the name Erythranthe guttata (spotted monkey flower). Its description in RNAcentral is "long non-coding RNA (EGUT_LNC001813)". The record is from RNAcentral. Lineage: Eukaryota; Viridiplantae; Streptophyta; Magnoliopsida; Lamiales; Phrymaceae.